CAGGAGAAUUCGCUGCUCAAAGUCCCUGUUUCAUCUCAGUAAAGUGUAAACACGGCAUGGCGCGCACACAGCUAAACAGACUUUGACUCAUUCGGUCAACCGUGUUGUUUAUCGACGCCAUGGCGGAUGACGUUUACUAUGUCGGCGUGGACGUGGGCACGGCCAGUGUGAGGGCGGCGCUGGUCACCAGAUAUGGCGACCUAAAGACCACAGCUCAGGAGCCCAUCAGCAUCUGGGAGCCUCACACCGACCAUUACGUACAAUCCUCCCACGACAUCUGGGAUAAAUGCUGCCUCGUCGUCAAGGAAGUCACGAGGGGAAUAAACAGGAGCCAAGUGAGAGGAAUCGGCUUUGAUGCCACCUGUUCUCUGGUUGUGUUGGACCGAAGCUUCCAGCCUGUAGCAGUCAACAAGGACGGUGAGGAUGAGAGAAACGUGGUAAUGUGGAUGGACCAUCGUGCUGCGGAGCAAGCCGCUCGCAUCACAAGCGCUGGCCACCGUGUCCUAAGUAGAGUGGGAGGGGUCAUGUCACCAGAGAUGCAACCUCCCAAGCUUCUCUGGCUUAAAGAGAAUCUGAGGGAAAGUUGCUGGAACAAAGCCGCUCACUUUUUUGACCUUCCAGACUUUCUGUCAUGGAAGGCAACAGGCUCUUUAAGCAGAUCCCUAUGCACGCUGGUAUGUAAAUGGACCUAUUGCCCUCCAGAGGGAUGGGAUGUGAGUUUUUGGACUUCAAUAGGUCUAAAGGAUCUUACUGAAAACAACUUUUUAAAAAUAGGCAGUGAGACGUGUUCUCCAGGGAGCCCACUUGGGGAUGGCCUGACCCAGAAGGCAGCUGCAGAUUUGGGUUUGGAUCCGGGAACUGCAGUCGGGGCUUCACUCAUCGAUGCUCAUGCUGGAGGCCUAGGUGUCAUAGGAGCAGAUGUAAAAGGCUUCCAGCUGCCGUGCGAAGGCCAGCCAAUUACCUCACGCAUGGCAAUGAUCUGCGGGACGUCAUCUUGUCACAUGGCGAUCAGUGAACAGCCGCUUUUUGUGCCAGGAGUAUGGGGUCCCUGUCUGUCUGCCAUGGUACCACACUUGUGGCUUAACGAGGGAGGACAGAGCGCCACCGGACGUCUGAUUGACCACAUGGUGACGGGCCACGCUGCCUACACGCAGCUCCAAAAAAAGGCACAGCAGAGAUGUCCUGCUGUAGGCGACCGUAUGUACAGCUACUUGAACAGCCACCUUAGUGGAUUGGCUUCUUCUUCAGCUGUUGACCUGCUGGGCUCCAGUCUUCACGUGUGGCCUGACUUUCAUGGGAACAGGUCUCCCCUGGCUGACCCCACCUUGAAAGGCAUGGUUGUUGGACUUUCUCUGUCUCAAAGUCUGGAUGACUUAGCAGUGCUCUACUUGUGCACCAUACAAGCCCUGGCGCUCGGCACACGUCAUAUUCUGGAGGCCAUGACAGAAGCAGGACAUGAUAUCAAAACCAUCUUCUUAUGUGGAGGCUUGGGCAAAAACGCCCUGUUUGUGCAGGUUCAUGCCAAUGCUACAGGGUUGCCUGUUGUGUUGCCCGACCAGACGGAGGCUGUGUUGGUGGGAGCAGCAGUCCUGGGAGCAUGUGCAUCUGGGGACCAUGGCACUAUACAGGAUGCAAUGUCCAAAAUGGCUAAGGUGGGAAAGGUCGUCGUGCCUGAUCACAACCUUCAGAGCUUUUACCAAAGAAAGUACAAAGUGUUCCGGCGCCUUGUGGACCACCAGAGAGAAUACCAGACUCUUAUGAGCACUUUUGAAUCUGACUGUCCUUCACUGUGACGACCUUAGGUUUUGUACGACCCGCCGUCUGGGUGGUCAUACACAUUAACAAGCUCAUCAAGUGCCUUAAAGAAUCCCUCACGUUGAUGAUUCAACAGUAGGGCCUUUUUUUUUAACGAGACAGCAAAAUAAGCCACCGUGAGGCCAAAGAACUUAAAGCAAAGUACGAAAGCCGGUGUCAGGCUGGCUCCUCCCUCUUCUACAAUCGCCAUCUUCGUCUUUCAUUAAGGGAGAAAGAGUAACAACCCGAGGUCACCAGAUUUUGUGCCAGCAAUCUUUAAACAUGUGCCAUCCCCGCAGAAGAGGAGGAGGAGUGCAAGGAGAAGGCAGCUGGUUGUAUUCAACAGACGG
This is an RNA transcript of Nerophis lumbriciformis (worm pipefish), 2144 nucleotides long. It is a transcript of the gene named FGGY carbohydrate kinase domain containing, with no coding region annotated. The record is from RefSeq and is a predicted model, not a curated record. NCBI's taxonomy places the organism in Eukaryota, Metazoa, Chordata, Actinopteri, Syngnathiformes, Syngnathidae.